RNAcentral lists this transfer RNA (88 nucleotides) under Shimwellia blattae DSM 4481 = NBRC 105725. RNAcentral's name for it is "tRNA-Leu". It matches the Rfam family "tRNA". From Rfam's summary of the family: Transfer RNA (tRNA) molecules are approximately 80 nucleotides in length. Their secondary structure includes four short double-helical elements and three loops (D, anti-codon, and T loops). Further hydrogen bonds mediate the characteristic L-shaped molecular structure. tRNAs have two regions of fundamental functional importance: the anti-codon, which is responsible for specific mRNA codon recognition, and the 3' end, to which the tRNAs corresponding amino acid is attached (by aminoacyl-tRNA synthetases). tRNAs cope with the degeneracy of the genetic code in two manners: having more than one tRNA (with a specific anti-codon) for a particular amino acid; and 'wobble' base-pairing, i.e. permitting non-standard base-pairing at the 3rd anti-codon position. Lineage: Bacteria; Pseudomonadati; Pseudomonadota; Gammaproteobacteria; Enterobacterales; Enterobacteriaceae. The record is from RNAcentral.
GCGGGAGUGGCGAAAUUGGUAGACGCACCAGAUUUAGGUUCUGGCGCCGCAAGGUGUACGAGUUCAAGUCUCGUCUCCCGCACCAUUU